GGAACUGGAGUGUGGAGACCAGGUGUUACCAAGAUGCCCUGCACAGGAGUAAAAGCUGUAAUUUGCCAGAGGUCACACACCUGGCCAGUGGUGGAGCCAAGGAGAACGGGCCCUUUGCCCAGGGUGAUGCUGCAUUGAGGCGGCUGCCUGAGCGUGGAGCACGGCCACAACAGCCAUUCUGGACAAAGCGCAGAGGAGCAGCUUCUUUGUUGGUCACAGACGGAGGAAGUCUGCAGAAAUGGGGGCUUUCUCCAUGGGACAUGAUUUCCUGCCAGCAUCCUGGACACAAAUCAAGAGAAGAAGGAUUUAAGUGCUCCACAAGAGAUGUACCAUUAAGCACAAAGCCAGUGUUGUACCGGGCCUCUGCCAAGAAGAAACAAAAGAGAUUUUCUGCAGCGUGUGCCCUUGGUCGCUCCCUGUCCAGCUCUGGGAAAGCCUCAGAUCUCCCUGGAAUAAAGAACUAAAGACCAGCCACUGACUGAGAGACAGACAUUCGAGGGACUGCUCCAGAAAGGCUGAGCUCCAGGCCAUCUCAGGAGGAGGCGGGGAGAAACACCAGGGUCUUGCUGCUAGUGACAGCACAAAGCAGCGGGGGAGGGAGGGGCGUUUCCGCUGUGCAAUCAAAAGCCCCCUUCCUAACCACAGACCUCUCCCUCAUCCCUAAAAUCCAUUUUGGGUACAAGCACCUACCCAACCACUGUAAAAAUAGCUACUCAUGAUGAUGUCGGGCAUCGUGCUAAGUGCUUUAUGUAUAUUCUCUCAUUUCACAAAACGGCACCUCUAUAGGUUCACUUCCACACAUGGGAAACCAAAACUUGGAGAAGGGAACUUGUCUAAGCUGAUACAGGUAAGAGGAAGGCUUCAAACACACCUCCAUCUGCCCCCAAAGUCUUCACCACUCAGAGGACUUUCCAGAAGUGGCGAUGGAUUUGUGAAGACCCUCCCACCCCUCCAUGCCCACUUCCCCUUGUCAGCCAGGACACACCAUUGUGCAGGGCAUUGCACAAGCCAUUGCACAGGGCAGGGGUGCGAUCUGUGACUGUGAUGAGAGGCUUACUGGCCCCAGAGAAUGGCAGCCACAGCCUUGGCUUUUCGGGCCAUUGCGCCAUCUUUGUGUGCUAGGGAUCCUGUGUUCCCAGAGGGUGGAGACCCUAUCUGUGCACUUUACUUAAUUAUUUUUGUAUACAAAACAUUUCAGUACUUCACUCAGUGCCAUAUACAAUUAGCGAAUUAAUACAUGCUUUUGGAGGGUGAUAAAGAUCUCACCAUACCAGUCAGUGAAAUAAACAAUGCCCCGCUUCUCUCAAGGAGAAACAAAGAGUCAAGCCACCCUGGGCACUCAGCACACUGUGUGGAGAACACGAGCAUGUGAGGCCCGCAGACCUAGCUUUGGAUCCUGGCUCAGCCACACACUAGCCAGGUGCCUGGGACAAACCAGCAGACCUCUGUGAGGCCAAGUUUCCCCAAACCUGGGGCAAGGGCACAACACCUACCUUUAGGUUAUUGUGAAGAUUAGGCGAGGAAAUUGCCACUGAGCUCCUAGCAACCUUGCCUGGCAGAGUGGGUGUUCAAUGUUAGUUUCUUGACUCAGUGCAUCUUCUUUCUUUCAAUGGAGCUCUCAUCACUAAAGAAUCUUGAUUCAUCUCUGCCUUGGGGACAUUCCCACCACCACAUGCUGCUGGUACCAUACAGGGCUGACCAGCAUGGUCCACCAUUCUCCUCAGUGGCACAGCUUUCUAACAAGAUGUAAUUCAAGUGGGGAAUAAGAAAGGGGAUUGAAAGCCAGAAGAACAUGCAAGUCAACCACAGGGUUGCUUCUGCACCUUGUGGCCCACUAUAGAGAGGCCUCUCUGUCCAGCCCCAUCUGUCUCCAAGGGGCACUCUCCAGCCUGUCUAGGGUCCUCUGGGUCAGGUCUGAAGAAAAAGAGGCCAAGGUACGAGAGCACUCUCUCCACCCAAGACCUACUUUCAGAGUUGCCACUUCCGAUCUGAAGAUAGGUCUUCCCCCAGAUGAUAACAGGAGCAAGCGCUCCUUUCAGAGGGGCCCCGCUCCUUACAUUCAGGAGUGUGGCCUCCCCAGGAUAACCGCAUCAGUUCCACGCAGUAAACCCUGCAUCCAUACAGGCAAUGCUCACCUCGAAUGCAGGGGAAGGAGAAGAGGAAGGGAAGUUGUUACAUGUGCUUUAUCUUUACGCUAUCUCAUUGGAUCCUCACAUUAGUCCUGUCCAGUGUUUUUUAGAUGGUCAUUCCUAAUCUUCAGAUAAAGGGAUUUUAGAUUGGAGAGGUUAAGUGAACUGACCAAGGUCACAGCUGACUAGAGCAAGCACUGGAGCUCAGUCAUCUUGUACUAAGCCCAGUUCUCUGGUCUCCCUGCCCUUGAGCCCAGGAUACCAGCCCCAGCAACUGAACCUUCCCUAGGAAGGAAGCUGGGGCUCUCCUACUGACCAGCACGAGAGACGGGGUUCCUGGAAGUGGUGAGUGAAAGGAGCACUGGAUGAAGCCACGGGUGUGAGGCAAGGGGAGCUGGCAGUUGUCCCUCCCUCUGCCAGGUUGUAGGUCAGGAGACCUGGGAUCAAGUGCAGGCUUCACCACUUGGAAGACUGUAUGGGUCUGAAAUCAUUACUCUCAGUGCCUCAGUUUCUGCAUCUGUCAAAUGGGAAGGAACAAAUGAACACUUUAUACACUUAAACACUUUUAUGAACACUUUUAAUACACUUAAAAUUCUUAGAAUGGUGCCUAGUACAUAGUAGUUAUUAAAUAAAUAUAGAUAUUUUAUGGACAUUGCUGUUGUUACUGUUAUUCCCUCGCAAAGUUUCGUGAGGAAUAAAUGAGAUGACAGACAUGAACACAUGAUAAGCUGCGAAGGUAAGGGAUGGGCAGUCUCACAUGCUGAGAAGGUAAUGAGAGAAAGACUUGGCCUCAGACCAUGUAUUUGAACAGUCUCAAAACCUUCAACAUGAAACACAGAACUACUCCAAAAAGCAGGCAUUUGCCUUCUGGUUUUUUCAUUGGUUCUAUUGCAAUUUUAGACUAGAUCUUUUACACUAUUUAUCUAGCUGUGUGCAUUUCAUUUAGUUAUCCUCCGUCACCAUGUACCAUGGGCAUUGUCCAAGAAGCAGGACCUGGUCUAAGUAGCCCCUGGAUGUCUUAGCUUGAGCAGAGAAUACAAUUAAGCUCUGUCUCUCUCUCUCUCUCUCUCUCUCUCUCUCAGGUAAUCCAGGUGCCAUCUUUCUUGACAGUCUGGAGGAACCAGGUGAGCAAGCUGCCCGGCGACAGGGAGUUGCUGCUAGCUGACUGACGGCCAAAGGCUCAGUCAUACCACCGCUCAAGGUCUGGUAGCAAGAGCUCCUUAGCCCACAUUUGGCCAGGUUUAGAACGCGUUUGACCAAUUAGCCAAACAAGAGUUUCUGAGUGUGGCUUUGUGCCCAGCACCAUGCUGGAAACAGUGGGUUGCGUAAGGGAAGUGUCUGUGCCUUGGGCUCUGCCCUUAUGGAGAUCAGUCUGGCCGAUGGAAUACGACCAAUGAAACCAAAGCAAUGAGAGAAUUGUGAAAGACAGCAAUACAAUGAAGGGUUAGAUUUUAUGGCACAGAAUGUAAAUGUUAGAGUAUAGGGUAAAAGGAGAUGGAUGAAGGCUGGAGGGGGCAGGAAAAGGCUCAUGAAGGAGGAGGUUUGUUAGCUGGGCCUUGACAGGGGUGUAGGAGUUGCAUUGGUGGAAGGGAGAGUGGCAUUCCAAGCCAGGGAAGCUAUCUGAGAGAAAUCUAGGCGUAGAAAAGAACAAGGACUGUUUACAUGGCAGAGGCAAAACUGGCAUGACUGGAGUAGAGGGAGAGCAUCCUAAUUCCUAAACCUAUUGCCUACUUUGCAAGAACCAGGAAAAGGAAUUCCUAUGGCUCAUAAAACUGGUUGACGGUGAUCUAGUCUGUCCUAUUUCGCCUCCCACAUUUAUAGCUCUACGUGAACUUUGGCAAGUCACAUAACCCCUUUGAAACUCACUUUCCUCCCCUGUAAAAUGGUGGUGAUAAUACGCGUCUAAUCGAGUCACUUCGAGAAGUAAAAGGGAUGAUCUGUGGAGGCUCGCAGGGGCCAAUGCUAAUAGACAGGUAGUGAUGGCAAUUCUCCCCUCAUCCCAGCGAGCAGCUCCCAGCUCGGGUUCACACCGAGGAGGAAUGCCCUUCAUGCUCUUCAAGGAGCUCCUGCCCAUCUCUCCUUCCAAAGAACAUUGGAAGUUGCUUCAUCUCUCCACCCCGUCAAUGAGUUUUGGUCAGAGGGUAAAGACAGUGUUCCUUUUGGAACUCAUCCUGCCCUGCCAAGGAGGGAGAACCAGACGCUCUGUGUCUCUUGCUGAUGACACUGCUCCACGGUGGGUGCAUAAGGACAUCGCUGGGACCCUCCUACCCAGAAAGCACGGCUGUACCCGGAUCUUGUGGGGUCGCAAUAGAUACCUGCCAGCUUGAUGAGGGCCCUUCAGAGCUAGGGUUUCUGAACGGAGCCAGCUGUCCCAUGGGGAAGGGGAGUACCCUCCCCCUCUCUUGCCUCUCUCUUCUUUCUCCUCCUUGAGAGGACAGGAAGGUGGGAAUGGCCUUGGGAAAACUCGGAAGCGCUGACUGGCCCAAGGGAACAAAGGUGACCUGGAAAGGAGUUGCCCCAGAUUGGGAGCACCUGUGAAAGGCCGAGCCUGAGACAGAAAUGAGCGCUCUGUCGUCUGCGCAGCCUCGCGGUAGGGACCGAGUUGGUGAGGAGAAGCCGCAGGAGAGAGUUGCUAGGGUUGGAAACAAACAACCGAUGAAAAUGCCUGGAGAGGAAGGAGCAUCUGAUCGACCAGCCCGAGGGACGGGCCCGCACCCCUGACAGUUCUCCUCGGCCUGGUUUCAGGCCACUGAGUCCAAGUUUCUGCCACAGACCCAGGGCUGAAGCUCUUUCCAAAGAGAUUGGUAAUUGCUUUCCACCUGCGCCUUGCCCAACAUCCACUGCUGAGCGCACCUUCCCUCUCCUCCCGUCGCGCCGGGCCCCAGAAAUAAUCACUGAGCAGGGAGUUAUCAGUCCAGGGAGGUUGGGUCCGGGCCAGGAAGCCUGGGCACCCGGCGCGCGUGCGUGCGGCGGGCGUUGGGGGGGGGCGGUGGGGGAGGGACGCUGCA
This 5137-nucleotide long non-coding RNA is filed under the name Equus caballus (horse). RNAcentral's name for it is "lncRNA (ENSECAG00000043059.2)". Lineage: Eukaryota; Metazoa; Chordata; Mammalia; Perissodactyla; Equidae. The record is from RNAcentral.